AUGCAAUGGUGUGGACAUUGCCUCAAUAAUUCUUUAUACCUCUCCCAAGCUUCAUAUAAAGAUUCCCCCUCUUGCUGCAUGAAUGAUGUAAUUUCUCCUCUUAGUUU
Abrus precatorius (Indian licorice) is the source of this 107-nucleotide small nucleolar RNA. The record is from RefSeq and is a predicted model, not a curated record. NCBI's taxonomy places the organism in Eukaryota, Viridiplantae, Streptophyta, Magnoliopsida, Fabales, Fabaceae.